This 1698-nucleotide ribosomal RNA is filed under the name Triticum aestivum (bread wheat). RNAcentral describes it as "partial small subunit ribosomal RNA". Lineage: Eukaryota; Viridiplantae; Streptophyta; Magnoliopsida; Poales; Poaceae. The record is from RNAcentral.
AUGGCCGUAGCUCGGAGCAUCCUGGUUGCACUGCUCGCCGCCAGUGGCGUAGCUAGCCCAACAUGCCAGGAUUAUGGGGAAAUUCCAGGGUGGUCCAUGGACCACCCUGUCCACCCCCUAGAUACGCCACUGCUCGCCGCCGUUUGCAUUGCCAUCUCCUCGGCCGCCGCGGCGACCAGCGUUAACACCACCGACUUCGUAGGCUGUCUCGCCCUCCACCUUCCUCCGGGGAUCGUCUACACGCAGUCAUCGGAAUCCUACUCGUCCGUCCUCGAGUUCUCCAUCAAGAACCUCCGGUUCGUCACGCCGGCCACCCCGACGCCCCUCGUCAUCGUCAAGGCCACCCACGCCACACACGUCAGGGUUGCCGUGCGCUGCGGCGCGGCGCACGGCGUCCGCGUGCGCCCGCGCAGCGGUGGCCAUGACUACGAGGGGCUCUCCUACCGCUCCCUCGACGCGGCGCGCUCUUUCGCCGUCGUCGACCUGGCGGCGCUGCGCGCGAUCCGCGUCGACGUCCGGAGCAGGUCGGCGUGGGUCGAGUCCGGAGCCACGCUCGGCGAGCUUUACUACGGCAUCGCCAACAAGAGCGCGCGCCUCGGGUUCCCCGCCGGUGUCGGCCCGACGGUGGGCGUCGGCGGGCACCUCAGCGGCGGCGGCUUCGGCCUGAUGCUACGGAAGCACGGCCUCGCCGCGGAUCACGUCGUCGACGCCAUCAUGGUGGACGCCAAGGGGAGGCUCCUGGACAGGGCUGCCAUGGGGGAGGACCACUUCUGGGCCAUCCGGGGCGGCGGGGGCGGGAGCUUCGGCAUCGUGGUGUCCUGGAAGCUCCUGCUGGUGCGCGUGCCGGCUACCGUCACCGUGUUCACCGUCCACCGGCCAAGAAACCAAUCCGCCAGCGAUCUCCUCACCAAGUGGCAGCACGUGGCGCCGGCCCUGCCCCGCGACAUCAUCCUCCGGGUGGUCGUGCAGAACCAGGACGCGCAGUUCGAGUCCCUGUACCUCGGCAGGUGCGCCGGCGUCGUCGCGACGAUGACCAAGAUGUUCCCGGAGCUGGGCGUGACGCGGCGAGACUGCAUCGAGAUGAGCUGGAUCGAGUCCGUGCUCUACUUCGCGUUCUACGGCACGGGGAAGCCGAAGGAGCUGCUCCUGGACAGGGGCACCAAGCCGGACAGGUACUUCAAGGGCAAGUCGGACUUCGUGCACGAGCCCAUCCCGAGGGACGUGUGGGAGAGCACGUGGAGCUGGUUCCUGGAGGACGGCGCCGGGCUGCUCAUCCUCGACCCCUUCGGCGGCAGGAUGGGCCGCGUCGCGUCGUCGGCGACGCCGUUCCCGCACCGGCACGCGCUCUACAACCUGCAGUACUACGGCUUCUGGUGGGACAACACGACGGAGGCGUCGGAGCAGCAUAUGAGCUGGGUCAGGGGGGUGCACCGGGAGAUGGAGCCGUACGUAUCCAAGAGCCCCAGGGGCGCGUACGUGAACUACAAGGACCUGGACCUCGGCGUCAACGAGUAUGGUGGCGACGGCGGUGGGACCAGCUACGAGACGGCGAGAGUUUGGGGCGAGGCGUACUUCAAGGAUAACUUCGAGAGGCUUGCGGCGGUGAAGGCCAAGGUGGACCCCAGUGAUUUCUUCAGGAACGAGCAGAGCAUUCCUCCUCUUGGAUUACCAGGUGGCAAUGGCACGACGCAGAAUUGA